AGCAAUGAAGAGGGACCAAGCUCUGGAAGUGGACUCCAGCACCAUUGGCAGGAAGAAAGGCCGAGACGGUGCUGAGGAUGAACUACCAACUCGCAGGCAGAUCUAUAUAUGUGUGGGCAUAUUUGUUGUAUAAGAAAACACCACUAUCAUGACAUACCUUUACCUGAAUUUUAUGAAGUCCUACUGUUGUUGUCAGCUCCCAGUUCCCGAAAAUAAAAUAACUGAUGGAUCAUGGUAUAAUUUGUUAUCCCCAACCAACCCCAAUUGACGCAGCCAGAAAGAGAGCAUUUUCGUAUCCGGGCACUAGCUCUCAGCCUUCGUGGAGUUAUUUGAUAUCGGAUGAUUUCACGUUAUACACAAUAUAAGCAUAGACCUUUCACCGAGGAUCUCAGCUCAUGAACUCCAUGAACCAAGUCAAGCUCAAUUACCUUAAAGAGCAACGGCC
Molecule: small RNA, 445 nt
Filed under: Histoplasma ohiense
Lineage: Eukaryota; Fungi; Ascomycota; Eurotiomycetes; Onygenales; Ajellomycetaceae
Description: hypothetical lncRNA
Source: RNAcentral